AUGGACGAGGAGGAUAGCAACGCGCCGAUCUUGCCCUGCAAGAGGAAGAACAAACCGCAAGGGAAAGGCAAGGAUGGCAAGAAGAACAAGACCAAGGAAGAUGCUAAGAUGAGCAAGAAGACUCAGCUUAAAAAGCCGCAGAAAUUGGAGGUUGGGACUCCUUCUGUUGAUAGCAACGUGCUGAUUUUGCCCUGCAAGAGGAAGGACAAAUCGCAAGGGAAAGGCAAGGAUGGCAAGAAGAACAAGACCAAGGAAGAUGCUAAGAUGAGCAAGACUCAGCUGAAAAAGCUGCAGAAAUUGGAGGAGGACAAACAAAAGAAGGCGCUGCAAGCUCAAAGCAUCGAGACUUUGCAGAAGCACAGGAUCGCUGAUGAGGCAUACUCGCUGCUGCACACUUCAGGGUCUAUUGGUCAAGCUGCGACUAUGAAAGAAAAACGUAGGCGUGCCAUGCAAUUAUCCAAGGCUGGUUUAGAUGUCCCUGAAGAACUUUCGCUAUUCAAGAAAAACUCUGAUCAGACAGGAGUUCCAGUUCCUGAAAACACUGAAGCUGCGCCGGAAGCUAGCCCGGUGAAGUUAGUUCAGGCCGCGAAACUCUAUCAUCCUGGUAGUGAACGUAAGAAUCAUGAGAGUGACGCAGUGAAGCCUAACAAUGGUGUUGGUGUGAGCAUUGUGAAUCAGAAAACUGAAGAGACUAAUGAUGAUGCUGACAUUUUGGCACAUCAGAGCAUUCCGAAACAACAAACUGAAAAGACUAAUGAUGAUGAUGACAUUUUGGUACAUCCGACAGUUCAUUCAUCUGUGCCAAGUUGCUCUGGUGUAGAGAUUGAUAUGCAGGAUAAAGAGCCACAACAAGGUGAAGCCGCUGUACAGGAGUGCUUCAAUUCUCCCAUUGUUGUGCAUGUGUCAAGACCACAUGAGGUUGAGAAGGCGAGGAGGGAUCUCCCAAUAAUAAUGAUGGAGCAGGAAAUAAUGGAAGCUAUCUAUGAAAAUUCAGUGGUAAUUCUGUGCGGAGAAACGGGCUGUGGUAAAACUACUCAGGUCCCUCAGUUCUUAUAUGAAGCCGGCUUUGGCACAAGCAAUCGAGCUGAUAGAAAAGGGAUGAUUGGUAUCACCCAGCCACGGCGUGUUGCUGUUCUUGCCACAUCCAAGAGGGUAUCUUAUGAGUUAGGACUUAAGCUAGGAAAGGAGGUUGGUUUUCAAGUUAGACAUGACAAAAAGGUGGGAAAUAAUUGCUCCAUCAAGUUCAUGACAGAUGGCAUUUUGCUACGAGAGGUCCAGAGUGACUUUCUGUUGAAGCACUAUUCGGUGAUCAUCUUGGACGAGGCACAUGAAAGGAGUUUGAACACAGAUAUACUUAUUGGGAUGCUUUCUAGAGUUAUAAAGGCACGCAAGUUUGUGUACGCAGACCAACAGAAACAAAUACGCUCUGGGAUGAAGAUUGACCCGGCAGAUAUGGUUAGUCAGUUGAAAGUGGUCCUGAUGAGUGCUACCUUGCAAUUAAAAGACUUUAUUUCAAACAGAAGAUUGUUUGAUGUGAUUCCACCAGCUGUAGAGGUGCCUACACGACAAUUUCCAGUAACAGUUCACUUCGCAAAGAGGACACAUGAUGAUUAUUUAGCGCAGGCUUAUAAGAAAGUUCUGUCGAUCCACAAGAGUCUACCACCAGGUGGAAUCCUUGUAUUUGUUACUGGACAACGAGAAGUGGAUUAUUUAUGUAAGAAAUUGCAAAGAGCAUCCAAGCGGCAAAUUGGUAAGAAGCCUGAAAUGGUUGGAGAUGAGAAUGGUUCAAGACCAGAAAUAGAAGAGAAGGAAAUUUUUGAAGCAUAUGAUAUUGAUAGAACUGAACCUGAGCACCAAGACGACAUAUUUUCCUCAUAUGGUGAAGAUGAAACGGAUGAUGAGCUAAAUGUCGCUUCUUCUGAUGCUGAAACAGAGAGUGAGAUGGAAACUGACAGUGAUGAGGAGGAUUCUGUUGCACAUGAAACCGCAGAAGAAGAUGGGCCAGUGUUAUCAUUUUUAAAAGGUGCUGAGAGUUCAUCUGUACUGAAUGCAUCCUUUAAAGCUAUAUCAGGACAACCAGAAACUGCUGAGGAAGCGAGCAAUGCUACAAUUGCAGAAAAGUCAGGUCCUUCUGCUUCGCGUGCUAGGCUCCGUGUUUUACCACUUUAUGCAAUGCUACCAGCUUCGCAGCAGCUUAGAGUAUUCCACGAUAUUCCUGAAGGGGAAAGAUUAGUUGUUGUGGCAACUAAUGUUGCAGAAACAUCUUUAACAAUUCCUGGCAUAACAUAUGUGGUCGAUACUGGAAAAGAAAAGGUUAAGAACUAUGACCAUGCUACUGGGAUGGCAAGUUAUGAAGUACAGUGGAUAAGCAAGGCAUCAGCAUCCCAACGUGCUGGGAGAGCUGGAAGAACUGGGCCUGGGCACUGUUACCGUCUUUACUCAGGUGCAGCAUACAGUAAAGAUGACUUAUUUCCUGAAUUCACUGAGCCGGAGAUCAAGAAAAUGCCAGUUGAAGGCAUUGUGCUUAUGCUCAAGUCUAUGAAUAUUGAUAAGGUUGAAAACUUUCCUUUCCCUACGCCUCCUAACAAGGAAAGUUUGGUUGAAGCUCAGCGUUGCUUGAAGAUAUUGGAAGCAGUUGACAACCAAGAAAAACUUACAUCAAUGGGAAAGGCUAUGGCGCAAUACCCAAUGAGCCCACGACAUUCUCGUCUUCUUUUGACAAUAAUUAAAAUGUUGAAGAGUCAGGAAGGAUGUGCUAGAUCUAACCUCAUAUUGGGAUAUGCAACUGCUGCUGCAUCAGCUUUAAGUUAUACCAAUCCUUUUCAAGUUCAGGGCAACACUGAUAGAGAAACAAAUGAAGAUGGCCCUGAUCCAGAACAUAAGGAUCGACAUGAAAGGAAGAGCCAGAAGAAGCUCAAAGCCAUGGUUCGAGAAGCACGGAAAGAUUUUUCCAUCCCUAGCAGUGAUGCUUUAACCAUUUCCCAUGCUUUACGGUCAUUUGAGUGUUCUAAAAGCCGAGUUGAGUUCUGCAGAGACUACUCGCUUCACCUGAAAACAAUGGAAGAGAUGUCAAAAUUGAGAAAGCAGCUUCUUCGAUUAAUAUUUAACUAUAGCAAAUUUUGUGAUGAAUUUGCUUGGAAUUUUGGAGGCUCUCAAGAUGUUGAACAGGCCUGGGGGAGUGAAACCAACAAAAAGCCAAUGCUGAAUGAAGAGGAAAUUCUGGGGCAAGGAAUAUGUGCUGGGUGGGCUGAUAGGGUUGCAAAGAAGAUAAACACUUUCUCUGGAUUGUCAAAAGAGGAUCGAAAGGUUCGAGCUGCACGUUAUCAAUCUUGCGCUCUCAAUGAUAUGAUAUAUCUAAACCGAUCAUCUUCUGUUGCCCAAAUUCCACCAGACUAUGUAGUUUACUCCGAACUACUAAAUACAAAGAGAUCAUACAUGUAUGGUGUGACCAGUGUAAAGCCAGGAUGGCUUUUGAAAUAUGCUAGUUCUCUCUGCACCUUCUCAGCACCGCUGGAGGAUCCAAAGCCCUACUAUGAGCCUCAGAAUGACCAGGUCUACUGCUAUGUCAGUCCCAUCUUUUCUCGACAUAAUUGGCAGCUUCCACUGCACAGUUUACCCAUCAAAGAAGCCACCCGUCGGGUGCAGAUAUUUGCAUGGGCAUUGCUUAAAGGGGAUGUCUUGCCAUGUCUAAGGGUGGUUCAAAAGUUCCUGGCUCUGUCACCAUCUGUUGUCCUGGGGCCUGCCAGCCAAAGAAGAGUUGGAGAUCUUCUUAGCAGGAUGAGUAAAAAGACAAUAUAUAGCCGGGCAGCAUUAAGAGAUGCAUGGAAUACUGACCCAGAUUAUCUUUAUCCCGAGAUUCAGGCGUGGAUCCAGGAUAAAUAUCAGAGCCAGCUUGGAGCAAUAUGGGAACAAAUGCACCAAGAAGUUCGCCUUGAGGGGCGCGAACUUUUCCCGAAGAGGUUCAAGAAAGUUAAAGGGUAA
This 3981-nucleotide ribosomal RNA is filed under the name Triticum aestivum (bread wheat). Its description in RNAcentral is "partial small subunit ribosomal RNA". The record is from RNAcentral. Lineage: Eukaryota; Viridiplantae; Streptophyta; Magnoliopsida; Poales; Poaceae.